RNAcentral lists this ribosomal RNA (428 nucleotides) under uncultured bacterium. Its description in RNAcentral is "bacterial SSU rRNA". It matches the Rfam family "Bacterial small subunit ribosomal RNA", at positions 354 to 796 of the family's 1533-position model. The record is from RNAcentral.
GUAGGGAAUAUUGGACAAUGGGGGCAACCCUGAUCCAGCGACGCCGCGUGAGUGAUGAAGGCCUUCGGGUCGUAAAGCUCUGUUGCAGGGGAAGAACACAAUGACGGUACCCUGCUAGAAAGGAUCGGCUAACUUCGUGCCAGCAGCCGCGGUAAGACGAGGGAUCCUAGCGUUGUUCGGAAUUAUUGGGCGUAAAGCGGGUGCAGGUGGCUUGGUAAGUCAGAUGUGAAAGCCUGGGGCUUAACCCCAGAAGUGCAUUUGAUAAUGCUGAGCUUGAGUGCUGGAGAGGCUAUUAGAAUUCCUGGUGUAGUGGUGAAAUACGUAGAUAUCAGGAGGAAUACCGGAGGCGAAAGCGGAUAGCUGGCCAGACACUGACACUCAGACCCGAAAGCGUGGGGAUCAAACAGGAUUAGAAACCCCUGUAGUCC